AUCUAACUGACGAAUCUCAAAUAGAACGAAACGCACGUCAUGUAU
Molecule: non-coding RNA, 45 nt
Filed under: Schistosoma margrebowiei
Lineage: Eukaryota; Metazoa; Platyhelminthes; Trematoda; Strigeidida; Schistosomatidae
Source: RNAcentral